AAACAUUUUACUCAUAUAGGGUAACCGUAAAUGUUUCUGAGGAAUAUUUAUGUUUUCAUAUUAAUUACAUUUCAAGGUACUGUUUCAAUGUUAACGUAAUGUACCCUACUGCUGCAACGUGUGUGUGUGUGUUAUGUUAAUUGCGCUAAUGUGCAUUUCUUCUGUUGUUAACUGGACGCUGUUGUUUUUGGAGUGUAUGCAGUAUGUACAUGAAUUAAAUAGACGCUUUAUUUAUUUUCAGAUUCAUUAAACAUGUUGUUCCUGGGAUAUGCUGCACUUGUGGCGUUUGUGUUAAUUUCAAAAGGCACCGCCAACGAAACCCGGGACAUAUUGGUGACUGAAGGAGAUCAGGUUGUGCUGCCCUGUGGUGUUGAUGAUGGCUCCUUGGAGAGGUGACGCGGAGGAGAGUCGUGGUGUACGAUACAUGGACGGUGACACGGAGCAAAAACGACUUCAGAGCGAUCGCAUGGACACCGGAGAAUGCGCUUUUGGUUAUUUGGGUUGUUAAUGUAUGGAUGGGAAUUGGCGCGUUGUCAAUCAUUUGCGAGGCCCAAAACCAUUUCUCUUUGCUGAUACCUGUCUUACGUAUUGAGCAUCUGGGGUCAUACCGCUGUCUAUACACUACGAAUUUCUCUAAAAUCAUGCAAAGACUAGAAUAUCAACUCAUCAUAAGAGAAAAAGGUAAACACCAAUGGUGAACUCUGCAACUAACAUCGGAUUACGGUUUCGUUAUUUCUGUAUGGUGAAACGUUUACAGCUACGUAUUUGGGAUGAGUUUGGGAUAUACAUUUAGAUGUCGUAUUUGUAAAGACAAUUUCUGUCAGAUAUUGUUUGUUCCAAUUAGCCCCAUUAUGCACGAAUGUAAAACAUAUUUGUGGAGAUAUUCGUGACGUGCCACAUGAAACUAGUUUUGGCGGGAAAAGCGCGGCGCCGACCUCAUGUUUGUGACGUCACUUCCGGCUCGAGGAUUCUUCCGAAAUUACUUUCGAAUUAUCUGAAACUUCACAUCCAGGCCUGAUUUUUGUUUUGUUUGUUAUGGAGUUAACACAAACAUCGCAAGCAUAUUCCUACCAUGUAAAUGUGUCCACGCAGCUGAAAGAUAAAUAGUAACAAAUAUUUGUUACAAAUGCAAAACAAAAAGGUAAAGAUCCAAACACGAGACGAAGCUUUACGAAUUUCUCACAAAUCUAUCUUAAUCGUAUAUUAAGAAUUAUUUUAUCCUGAAAUAUUUGGACAAUGUUAUGAUAUUGUACACUACGUUAAUAUUUCUAAGGUAUAAAGCCACACUGUAGAUUCCUUGCGUAUCAUAUGCAUGUUUUAAUUAAGCAAUUUUUAACAUUUUCUCAUGAUAAAAAUUGUGUAAAUCCUCUGUUUUAAUAUUAAAACCUAACAUUUCCCUUACAAUUUUUAUUUUAAAUUCAAAAUGUUUACAGAUAUUUAACAUAUGCAAUAUUUUAAAUGAGUGAUAUACGUUUGGUUGACCAAUGUAUUUUACAACUUUAAUUCAAAUGACGUUUUUAACUCAUCAAUGCCUCAUUUUUUGAAUUAGAAUGAUGAGGGUGGUGUGGAGUCACACGAUCAGAGCGGCCUGUAUUGUUCCUAGCUCAGUGGUGUCAUUAAUGUUGUGACUAACGCUCACAGGGACCGAACCAGUUGAAAAUGUCACCACGAAUCCAUCAAGAUGCAUCUCAGAGGUGGCCAGCACAGGUCCUUCUGGCUGUGAGAACUCAAACACAACUCAAUUGACUGAACUUGGCAACAUAUUGGAGCAAUACAAGAUGCUAUUUUUCAUCUGUCUUGCAAUGAUGGCUGUUUUGAUAACAGUGUUGGUCGUGGUAAUCUUCAAACUGGUCAAGCAAAAACAUGAAUGCCUGUCAUUGGUAUCGCAACUGCAAAAAGUCGGCAAACUUUCUGCGGAAGGAUACGCUUCGGUAAGUGUGACUACGCGAGUAACUAUGAAUACAAGCGAUAGUGUGUAGUACUCGUUAUUGUAAAUAUCUGUUUCCUUAACACUCGGUGGACUUGCAGCCUGGGUGGCAGGCUGGCGCAGUGGUAACGCUGAUGCCUCACAGGAAAAAUAUAUUGAAUUCGAUUCCCAACUUGGGUGCCUUUCUGCGUGGUGUUUGUAUAUUCUAUCCCUGUUCUGCAGAGUGUGUGUGAGUGAGUGAAUGCGAGCGUGUACAUGUGUCUAAAAAAUAAGAAUAGGUUUUACUCUUUCUGGCAAUAAAACAGGUGUUUAGUCGUUCCAACACCAAAUAAAAACCUUUUGCAAGGGAUCAAGUCUGCAUUAACCACACGUACUUGUGGUGAACAUGCAAACAAAAAUACUCUGAUAAUAUAUGGCAUUUUCUAUGGAAAUUAUUGGCCUACACAAGAGACAGCCUUCUUUAGGGCCUAGUCUC
Long non-coding RNA from Petromyzon marinus (sea lamprey), 2402 nucleotides. RefSeq lists it as uncharacterized. Lineage: Eukaryota; Metazoa; Chordata; Hyperoartia; Petromyzontiformes; Petromyzontidae. The record is from RefSeq and is a predicted model, not a curated record.